AAUACUCUCGAAUCUUUUAGGUAAAUAAUUUCAAAGCUAGAUCUUAACGACGACUCUGUUAUAGUCAGUCCCAGAUUGCCAGCCUUUUUACAUGUCACUAGCAUUAAUUAAAUCCAGCAUCCACUGUCUCUAGAGAAGUACACUAAUGUGGGGUUUUUUAUUUGAAUAUUUUGGUGCUUUCCAUAUCUGCAGAGAGAAGAUGGGCUGUUUGCAGCUUGUAUUUGAAGCUCUUUAAUGUUGCCACUUUCUAGUGGUCUUCUCUGCAAUAUGUGAAACCACACCUUUACAUGUAGGGUGCUUUUCCUUAAAGUUAAAAUGGCUUUGUGUGUUCUGUUUGGCAUCUUUAAUCAGGACAAUUAAAUACUUUACAACGAUAAACUUUAAAAACCCACCCGCCGAACAACAAACUGCGUAAGAAAAAGAGCUGUACUAGGAUUUAGCCCUUAGCUUGGAGUGAGCUUCUUAAAAAUAAUUUGCACCGAAGCCAUCUCCUGUCCACCUUUUCCACACCCCCCCCCCCUUCACCACCAAACAGUAACAAAUGAAGGAUCACUCACCUUGGCAGAGGAAGCAAAGAGCAGCAGUCAGGAGGAGAGCGGGGAUGCUCUCCAUGGUGUUAUGAAUUACUGCCUGUCGACAGAGGCUGUUGGGAGACGAGCGUCGCUGCCAGGACUGUGCGAGCACAGGGAGCGGGGAGAGCUGCGCUCCUCCGAUGCGUGAAAUGCCUGAAGCAGCAGCCGGCAGGACCCUGAACAGCUCUGCGCAGUGAGCUCCCAUUAGGGUUGCUGUGCUGCCCCCUCCCUGGCUACCCGGGCUGUCAGAGCUUGGGAAAUGGCAAACAAAUUGCAGGCCAAACAGAUGUUAUUGUAGGCAAAGAGCAGCCUUCUGGCAAGGAUAAUGGGCAAGAGUCCUUAAAAUGGUGCAUAAAUGAGCCUGGUAGUCUGACGGUGCUAAAGAUUUUUUCUGUCAGCUGCUCUGUAGGAUCCUUCUCUACCAGAAGCUCGUAACAAUCUACUAAGGGAAGUUUAAUUAAUAAAAAUCUUGUAAUUGAAUUGUGCUGAAAUGAAUAUUGACAGUAGGGAUGCCUGAUUUAGCAGUGAACUGAGAUCCUGGGACCUGCAUUUACAAUUAUGCUGUUAACAUCGAGGCUUUUUCCUCCCGUGUCUCGUCUCACAGGCGCAUGUGCUGGGUGCUUGGCUGCGUAAAAAGGAUGUGCUAUUCCCAGGAGUAAUUAAAGGCAUGUGCAACUGUUGACAGGAUCUAAGCCCAGAGUGGUAAACACAGCAGCUGGGAUCUGGCAAGAGCCAGGGCUUUGAAUGGAGAAUUAAACUUGAUCAAACCAAAAUGAGUUAAAGCUUCAAAGACAAUAUCAUAAACUCGUAUUCCCCAAAAGUCAGUGCUUAGCCUGGAUAAUUUGGAAACAUCUGAUCUGCAGAGGAAGCAAAGAGCCAUUACAUCAAGAGACACAGCAAUCCCAGUUUUCUGGUCUGCAAAUCAAACCAGGGUCGUCUGGUCUGGAUGUCUGACGAG
Long non-coding RNA from Chiroxiphia lanceolata (lance-tailed manakin), 1530 nucleotides. RefSeq lists it as uncharacterized. The record is from RefSeq and is a predicted model, not a curated record. The transcript is spliced from 3 exons. NCBI's taxonomy places the organism in Eukaryota, Metazoa, Chordata, Aves, Passeriformes, Pipridae.